Molecule: ribosomal RNA, 252 nt
Filed under: uncultured bacterium
Lineage: Bacteria
Description: partial 16S ribosomal RNA
Rfam family: Bacterial small subunit ribosomal RNA
Source: RNAcentral
UACGUAUGGGGCGAGCGUUGUCCGGAAUGAUUGGGCGUAAAGGGUACGUAGGCGGUUAAUUAAGUCGAGUGUGAAAGGUUGGGGCUCAACCCCAUAAAGCAUUCGAAACUGGUUAACUUGAGAUGUGGAGAGGAAAGUGGAAUUCCUAGUGUAGCGGUGACAUGCGUAGAUAUUAGGAGGAAUACCAGUAGCGAAGGCGACUUUCUGGACACAUACUGACGCUGAGGUACGAAAGCGUGGGGAGCAAACAGG